RNAcentral lists this ribosomal RNA (919 nucleotides) under uncultured bacterium. RNAcentral's name for it is "bacterial SSU rRNA". It matches the Rfam family "Bacterial small subunit ribosomal RNA", at positions 8 to 964 of the family's 1533-position model. The record is from RNAcentral.
AGAGUUUGAUCCUGGCUCAGAAUCAACGCUGGCGGCGCGCUUAACACAUGCAAGUCGCACGAGAAAGUGGGAAACCAUGAGUACAGUGGCGUACGGGUGAGUAACACGUGGGUAAUCUACCUCUGAGUGGGGAAUAACCCUGGGAAACCGGGGCUAAUACCGCAUAAUCUCGAGAGAGGAGAGCAGCAAUGCGCUGAGAGAGGAGCCCGCGGCCGAUUAGCUAGUUGGUAGGGUAAGAGCCUACCAAGGCAGAGAUCGGUAGCCGGCCUGAGAGGGCACACGGCCACACUGGCACUGAAACACGGGCCAGACUCCUACGGGAGGCAGCAGUGGGGAAUCUUGCACAAUGGGGGAAACCCUGAUGCAGCGACGCCGCGUGAGCGAUGAAGCCCUUCGGGGUGUAAAGCUCUUUCGUCAGGGAAGAUGAUGACGGUACCUGGAGAAGCAGCUGCGGCUAACUACGUGCCAGCAGCCGCGGUAAUACGUAGGCAGCGAGCGUUGUUCGGAGUUACUGGGCGUAAAGGGUGUGUAGGCGGUUCUUUAAGUUUGGUGUGAAAUCUCCCGGCUCAACCGGGAGGGUGCGCCGAAUACUGAGGGACUUGGAGUGCGGGAGAGGAAAGUGGAAUUCCUGGUGUAGCGGUGAAAUGCGUAGAUAUCAGGAGGAACACCGGUGGUGUAGACGGCUUUCUGGACCGUAACUGACGCUGAGACACGAAAGCGUGGGUAGCAAACAGGAUUAGAUACCCUGGUAGUCCACGCCCUAAACGAUGCAUAUUUGGUGUGGGUCAUUCAGUUGAUCCGUGCCGGAGCUAACGCGUUAAAUAUGCCGCCUGGGGAGUACAGUCGCAAGGCUGAACUCAAAGGAAUUGACGGGGCCCGCACAAGCGGUGGAGCAUGUGGUUCAAUUCGACGCACGCGA